RNAcentral lists this ribosomal RNA (1551 nucleotides) under Escherichia coli. RNAcentral describes it as "bacterial SSU rRNA". It matches the Rfam family "Bacterial small subunit ribosomal RNA". Lineage: Bacteria; Pseudomonadati; Pseudomonadota; Gammaproteobacteria; Enterobacterales; Enterobacteriaceae. The record is from RNAcentral.
AAAUUGAAGAGUUUGAUCAUGGCUCAGAUUGAACGCUGGCGGCAGGCCUAACACAUGCAAGUCGAACGGUAACAGGAAACAGCUUGCUGUUUCGCUGACGAGUGGCGGACGGGUGAGUAAUGUCUGGGAAACUGCCUGAUGGAGGGGGAUAACUACUGGAAACGGUAGCUAAUACCGCAUAACGUCGCAAGACCAAAGAGGGGGACCUUCGGGCCUCUUGCCAUCGGAUGUGCCCAGAUGGGAUUAGCUAGUAGGUGGGGUAACGGCUCACCUAGGCGACGAUCCCUAGCUGGUCUGAGAGGAUGACCAGCCACACUGGAACUGAGACACGGUCCAGACUCCUACGGGAGGCAGCAGUGGGGAAUAUUGCACAAUGGGCGCAAGCCUGAUGCAGCCAUGCCGCGUGUAUGAAGAAGGCCUUCGGGUUGUAAAGUACUUUCAGCGGGGAGGAAGGGAGUAAAGUUAAUACCUUUGCUCAUUGACGUUACCCGCAGAAGAAGCACCGGCUAACUCCGUGCCAGCAGCCGCGGUAAUACGGAGGGUGCAAGCGUUAAUCGGAAUUACUGGGCGUAAAGCGCACGCAGGCGGUUUGUUAAGUCAGAUGUGAAAUCCCCGGGCUCAACCUGGGAACUGCAUCUGAUACUGGCAAGCUUGAGUCUCGUAGAGGGGGGUAGAAUUCCAGGUGUAGCGGUGAAAUGCGUAGAGAUCUGGAGGAAUACCGGUGGCGAAGGCGGCCCCCUGGACGAAGACUGACGCUCAGGUGCGAAAGCGUGGGGAGCAAACAGGAUUAGAUACCCUGGUAGUCCACGCCGUAAACGAUGUCGACUUGGAGGUUGUGCCCUUGAGGCGUGGCUUCCGGAGCUAACGCGUUAAGUCGACCGCCUGGGGAGUACGGCCGCAAGGUUAAAACUCAAAUGAAUUGACGGGGGCCCGCACAAGCGGUGGAGCAUGUGGUUUAAUUCGAUGCAACGCGAAGAACCUUACCUGGUCUUGACAUCCACAGAACUUUCCAGAGAUGGAUUGGUGCCUUCGGGAACUGUGAGACAGGUGCUGCAUGGCUGUCGUCAGCUCGUGUUGUGAAAUGUUGGGUUAAGUCCCGCAACGAGCGCAACCCUUAUCCUUUGUUGCCAGCGGUCCGGCCGGGAACUCAAAGGAGACUGCCAGUGAUAAACUGGAGGAAGGUGGGGAUGACGUCAAGUCAUCAUGGCCCUUACGACCAGGGCUACACACGUGCUACAAUGGCGCAUACAAAGAGAAGCGACCUCGCGAGAGCAAGCGGACCUCAUAAAGUGCGUCGUAGUCCGGAUUGGAGUCUGCAACUCGACUCCAUGAAGUCGGAAUCGCUAGUAAUCGUGGAUCAGAAUGCCACGGUGAAUACGUUCCCGGGCCUUGUACACACCGCCCGUCACACCAUGGGAGUGGGUUGCAAAAGAAGUAGGUAGCUUAACCUUCGGGAGGGCGCUUACCACUUUGUGAUUCAUGACUGGGGUGAAGUCGUAACAAGGUAACCGUAGGGGAACCUGCGGUUGGAUCACCUCCUUACCUUAAAGA